Molecule: RNA transcript, 1578 nt
Organism: Mastomys coucha (southern multimammate mouse)
Lineage: Eukaryota; Metazoa; Chordata; Mammalia; Rodentia; Muridae
Gene name: 14-3-3 protein theta pseudogene
Exons: 1
Source: RefSeq, a predicted model, not a curated record
CUAUUUUCGAAGGUUUAUUUUUAGAAAGAAAGGAAACAUAUUUUUUUUUCAAAUGCCAGAGCUGAACAAAACAGUAUGUUAAUCUAAAAUGACAGAGAGGACUCAGGUCGCGGCCGUGGAGACUAGAAGAAGGAUUCCGGAUCCGGCUAGGCGCUCGCCCUCGCUCGCCAUGGAGAAGACCAAGCUGAUCCAGAAGGCUAAACUGGCCGAGCAUGCCGAGCGCUACGACGACAUGGCCACCUGCAUGAAAGCCGUGACGGAGCAGGGCGCCAAGCUGUACAACGAGGAGCGCAACUUGCUGUCGGUGGCCUACAAGAACGUGGUCGGGGGCCGCAGGUCCGCCUAGAGGGUCAUCUCGAGCCGAUCGAGCACAAGACCGACACCUCCGACAAGAAGUUGCAGCUGAUCAAAGACUAUCAGGAGAAAGUGGAGUCAGAGCUGACGUCCAUCUGCACCACGGUCCUGGAAUUGUUGGAUAAGUAUCUAAUAGCCAAUGCAACUAAUCCAGAGAGUAAGGUCUUCUAUCUGAAAAUGAAGGGAGAUUAUUUCCGGUAUCUUGCUGAAGUAGCUUGUGGUGAUGAUCAAAAACAAACAAUAGAAAAUUCCCAAGGAGCCUACCAAGAGGCAUUUGAUAUAAGCAAGAAAGAGAAGCAACCUACGCAUCCAAUCCGCCUGGGGCUGGCUCUUAACUUUUCUGUAUUUUACUAUGAGAUCCUUAAUAAUCCAGAGCUUGCCUGCACACUGGCUAAAACGGCUUUUGAUGAGGCCAUCGCAGAGCCUGAUACACUGAACGAAGACUCCUACAAAGACAGCACCCUGAUCAUGCAGUUGCUUAGAGACAACUUAACAUUAUGGACAUCAGACAGUGCAGGAGAAGAAUGUGAUACAGCGGAGGGGGCCGAAAACUAAAGGCAUCCAGGGCACCAACCUCUUUCCCCUCAAGAACACCUUUUUACAUCUCCAUUCCUUAUUCCACUUGGAUUUCCUCUAGCAAGGAAGCCCAUUCAUGUGUAUGGGAUCAACUGUUUAUAGUCUUUUCACACUACAGCUUUUGGGAAAACUCCAUCCCUUGGUUUGUGUUGUCUCCACCUUCCUGGUGUGCAGUUACGGCUGUAGAAAAGUAUCAAUAGCUUCAUUUCAUAUAACCACGAGUAACUUCCAGACACUGGGUAGAGGACUGACAGCACAGUUGGUAUUUAAGUAAUCUGAACCAGUUCUGCGAGAGACUGUGUUUUGUAUUACUGUGAAGAUAUGGAAAUGUAGUGCAUUACAAUUUAAAGUAAUUGUAACAGUAACUUCUUGAUUUCUACAUUCCUUUUCUGAACCUUCUUGGGGGUUUCCUUUCAGAAGUGACUUUUCCAUGCUCUUAUUAUAAAUUCCUUUUUAGGAAUCCAGAAGUGUUAGAUUGAAUGGGAAAGUGCUUAAUGCAUCCAGGCUUGGGGUCACAGAUUGAAAUGUCUCCUGUGUCACAUAUUCUGGAGGUUACAUCUGUUUGUGACAACAGGGAGUUUCCUUAUGCAUUCUUCAUUUGCUGCUGUUUAAGUUGACAACUUCCUUCCCAAUAAAAAUUCACUUACA